This 94-nucleotide non-coding RNA is filed under the name Streptomyces sp. Amel2xC10. RNAcentral's name for it is "Streptomyces RNA 3202". It matches the Rfam family "Streptomyces RNA 3202". From Rfam's summary of the family: Identified by deep sequencing of transcriptome at the end of exponential growth phase. Appears smaller on northern blot than sequencing transcript. The record is from Rfam by way of RNAcentral. Lineage: Bacteria; Bacillati; Actinomycetota; Actinomycetes; Kitasatosporales; Streptomycetaceae.
CCACGUCCCGGAGCACAUCCCCCCCCGGCGCCGGGACUUUCCCCGAGUCGGGCUUCGGCGCCCCUCCCCCUGGGUGCCGGGGCCCGGCUCGUUC